GACGAACGCUGGCGGCGUGCUUAACACAUGCAAGUCGAACGGAAAGGCCCCUUUGGGGGUACUCGAGUGGCGAACGGGUGAGUAACACGUGAGUAACCUGCCCUUGACUUCGGGAUAACUUCAGGAAACUGGGGCUAAUACCGGAUAGGAAUCCUUGCUGCAUGGUGGGGGUUGGAAAGCUUCGGCGGGUUUGGAUGGACUCGCGGCUUAUCAGCUUGUUGGUGGGGUAGUGGCUUACCAAGGCUUUGACGGGUAGCCGGCCUGAGAGGGCGACCGGCCACAUUGGGACUGAGAUACGGCCCAGACUCCUACGGGAGGCAGCAGUGGGGAAUAUUGCACAAUGGGCGGAAGCCUGAUGCAGCAACGCCGCGGGCGGGAUGACGGCCUUCGGGUUGGAAACCGCUUUCAGCAGGGGCGAAGCUUGUGGUGACGGUACCUGCAGAAGAAGCACCGGCUAACUACGUG
Molecule: ribosomal RNA, 465 nt
Filed under: uncultured bacterium
Lineage: Bacteria
Description: partial 16S ribosomal RNA
Rfam family: Bacterial small subunit ribosomal RNA
Source: RNAcentral